This is a long non-coding RNA of Beta vulgaris subsp. vulgaris (sugar beet), 291 nucleotides long. RefSeq lists it as uncharacterized. The transcript has 3 exons. The record is from RefSeq and is a predicted model, not a curated record. Lineage: Eukaryota; Viridiplantae; Streptophyta; Magnoliopsida; Caryophyllales; Amaranthaceae.
UUGCAUGAUAUGUGAUUUUUCAAGUAAUUAUUGUUGUUUAAUCUUUCAAUAGCCAACAUUGGAUGCUCCUUGUCAUAUGUCCCUUGCCCGGGAUACUUUAUAUCUUCGAUUCUGCCAGCUAUCACAAACAGCGGAAGUUAAAGCUUAAAUUGCCUAUGAUAGCUGCUUUUAGGAGGUUUCGGAUGAGCGGCCACAGAGUUCGUCGAGAGAAGCUUUUGUGGAAAUAUGUUGAGUGCCCGCAACAACAAGGAGGCACGGAGUGCGGUUAUUUUGUGAUGCGGUAAAUUUUUG